UUGCACGCUGGCGGCCUGCUUUACACAUGCAAGUCGAACGGUAACAGGCCUUCGGGUGCUGACGAGUGGCGAACGGGUGAGUAAUGCAUCGGAACGUACCCAGAGGUGGGGGAUAACGCAGCGAAAGCUGUGCUAAUACCGCAUGUGAUCUGAGGAUGAAAGCGGGGGACCGAGCAGCAAUGUUUGGCCUCGCGCCUUUGGAGCGGCCGAUGUCGGAUUAGCUAGUUGGUGGGGUAAAGGCCUACCAAGGCGACGAUCCGUAGCUGGUCUGAGAGGACGACCAGCCACACUGGGACUGAGACACGGCCCAGACUCCUACGGGAGGCAGCAGUGGGGAAUUUUGGACAAUGGGCGCAAGCCUGAUCCAGCAAUGCCGCGUGCGGGAAGAAGGCCUUCGGGUUGUAAACCGCUUUUGGCAGGAACGAAACGGUGUCCGCUAAUACCGGGCGCUAAUGACGGUACCUGCAGAAUAAGCACCGGCUAACUACGUG
Molecule: ribosomal RNA, 491 nt
Filed under: uncultured bacterium
Lineage: Bacteria
Description: partial 16S ribosomal RNA
Rfam family: Bacterial small subunit ribosomal RNA
Source: RNAcentral